This 454-nucleotide ribosomal RNA is filed under the name uncultured bacterium. Its description in RNAcentral is "bacterial SSU rRNA". It matches the Rfam family "Bacterial small subunit ribosomal RNA", at positions 30 to 479 of the family's 1533-position model. The record is from RNAcentral.
AUUGAACGCUGGCGGCAUGCCUUACACAUGCAAGUCGAACGGCAGCACGGACUUCGGUCUGGUGGCGAGUGGCGAACGGGUGAGUAAUAUAUCGGAACAUACCCUAGAGUGGGGGAUAACGUAGCGAAAGUUACGCUAAUACCGCAUACGAACUAAGGUUGAAAGCGGGGGGAUCUUCGGACCUCGUGCUCAUGGAGUGGCCGAUAUCUGAUUAGCUAGUUGGUGAGGUAAAGGCUCACCAAGGCGACGAUCAGUAGCUGGUUUGAGAGAACGACCAGCCACACUGGAACUGAGACACGGUCCAGACUCCUACGGGAGGCAGCAGUGGGGAAUUUUGGACAAUGGGCGCGAGCCUGAUCCAGCAAUGCCGCGUGAGUGAAGAAGGCCUCGGUUGUAAGCUCUUUGUCUAGGGAAGAACGGUAGAGUCCUAAUAUAGCUUGCUAAUGACGGUACC